CCUACGGGUGGCAGCAGUGGGGAAUAUUGCACAAUGGGGGAAACCCUGAUGCAGCAACGCCGCGUGGGUGAAGAAGUAUUUCGGUAUGUAAAGCCCUAUCAGCAGGGAAGAGAAUGACGGUACCUGACUAAGAAGCCCCGGCUAACUACGUGCCAGCAGCCGCGGUAAUACGUAGGGGGCAAGCGUUAUCCGGAUUUACUGGGUGUAAAGGGGGCGCAGACGGCAAUGCAAGCCAGGAGUGAAAGCCCGGGGCCCAACCCCGGGACUGCUCUUGGAACUGCAUGGCUGGAGUACAGGAGGGGCAGGCGGAAUUCCUAGUGUAGCGGUGAAAUGCGUAGAUAUUAGGAGGAACACCGGUGGCGAAGGCGGCCUGCUGGACUGUGACUGACGUUGAGGCCCGAAGGCGUGGGGAGCAAACAGGAUUAGAUACCCUAGUAGUC
This 440-nucleotide ribosomal RNA is filed under the name uncultured bacterium. Its description in RNAcentral is "partial 16S ribosomal RNA". It matches the Rfam family "Bacterial small subunit ribosomal RNA", at positions 338 to 795 of the family's 1533-position model. The record is from RNAcentral.